Molecule: ribosomal RNA, 509 nt
Filed under: uncultured bacterium
Lineage: Bacteria
Description: bacterial SSU rRNA
Rfam family: Bacterial small subunit ribosomal RNA
Source: RNAcentral
UAAGUUCUCUGUAGCGCAGCUAACGCAUUAAGCACUCCGCCUGGGGAGUACGACCGCAAGGUUGAAACUCAAAGGAAUUGACGGGGGCCCGCACAAGCGGUGGAGCAUGUGGUUUAAUUCGAAGCAACGCGAAGAACCUUACCAGGUCUUGACAUACUCGUGCUAUCCUUAGAGAUAAGGAGUUCCUUCGGGACACGGGAUACAGGUGGUGCAUGGUUGUCGUCAGCUCGUGUCGUGAGAUGUUGGGUUAAGUCCCGCAACGAGCGCAACCCUUAUUACUAGUUGCCAUCAUUAAGUUGGGCACUCUAGUGAGACUGCCGGUGAUAAACCGGAGGAAGGUGGGGAUGACGUCAAAUCAUCAUGCCCCUUAUGACCUGGGCUACACACGUGCUACAAUGGAUGGUACAACGAGUCGCCAACCCGCGAGGGUGCGCUAAUCUCUUAAAACCAUUCUCAGUUCGGAUUGCAGGCUGCAACUCGCCUGCAUGAAGUCGGAAUCGCUAGUAAUC